GUCCCCUUUUCAAAAUUAAAAUUAAUGACAUCUACACUCAGCAACCACACACAUGGGCGGGGGGCACCGUUCUUGGAGCUACUGCAAUACCAGGUCGAUGCAUGGAGUGAACUAAGUAAGCUGCUAUUGCAACCCCCUCCUACAAAAAUCCACUUUAUAUACAUUUUUUUAGACAGGGUCUCAUCAUGUCACCCACUCUGGAGCUCAGUGGUGCCAUCAUGGCUGACUGCAGCCUUGACUUCCUGGGCUCAGGCAAUCCUCCAGCCUCAGCCUCUUGAGUAGCUGGACUAUAGGUGAGCUCAGGUGAUCCUCCUGGCUCAGCUUCCCCAGUAGCUGGGACUACAGGCACGCACCACCACACCUAGCUAAUUUUUGUAUUUUUUUGUAGAGUCAGUGUCUCACUAUGUUGCCCAGGCUGGCCCCCACUGGGUUGGCCUCUGUCAUACACCCCGCGGCACCCAGACUCCUCGGUGGCCCUUAGCCUCAGGUUCAUAGACUCAUCAGUCAGGGAUUUCUAUGUUUCCUCUGUGGCUCUGCGGGGGAUGGGUUGUGACCUGUUUACCACUAGAUCCCGGGAACCCUGCUUGGGCCUGUACAUCAAAGUCCCCAAGAAGUGAAGGAGCAAGAAAGUGGCAGAAUUUUUAAAAUUUUCAAUUUAAUUUAAAAAAUUAAUGUUUUAAAAUUUGUGUUUGGAUUUAAAAUGUGAAUGGAUAUCCAUAAUUGCAUUUUUUUUUUUUUGAGAUGGGGUCUCGCUCUGUCGCCCAGGCUGGAGUGCAAUGGCAUGAUCUCGGCUUACUGCAACCUCCACCUCCUGGGUUCAAGUGAUUCUCCUGCCUCAGCCUCCCGAGUAGAUGAGAUUACAGAUGCCCACUGCCACGCCUGGCCAAUUUUUUGUAUUUUUUAGUAGAGACAGGGUUUCACCAUGUUGGCUAGGCUUGUCUCCAACUCCUGACCUCAGGUGAUUCACCUGCCUCAGCCUCCCAAAGUACUGGGAUUACAGGCGUGACCAUGACCGGCCAUAAUUGCAAUUUUUUAAACAGUUAUUUGUUUUUUGAGAUGGAGACUCACUCUGUCACUCAGGCUGGAGUGCAGUGGUGUGAUCUCAGCUCACUGCAACCUCCACCUCCCGGGUUGAAGCCAUUCUCCUGCCUCAGUCUCCCGAGUAGCUGGGACUAGAGGCACCCACCACCACACCUGGCUAAUUUUUGUAUUUUUUUUUAGUAAAGACGGGGUUUCGCCAUGUUGGCCAGGCUGGUCUUGAAAUCCUGACCUCAGCUGGUCCGCCCGCCUCAGCCUCCCGAAGGCAGGGAUUACAGGCAUGAGCCACUGCACCUGGCCUAUUAUUUCAAUUUUAAUAUCAAAUUGCUAACACUAGGCUGGGCACGGUGGCUUGUACCUGUAAUCCCAGCACUUUGGGAGGCCGAGAUGGGAAGAUCGCUUGAGCCCAAGAGUUUGAGACCAGCCUGGGCAACACAGCGAGACCCCAUCUCCUCAAAAACUCAAAAAAGUAGCCUGCCUGUAGUCUCAGCUGCUCAGGAGGCUGAGGUGGGAGGAUGAUUGCUUGAGCCUGGAAGGUCUGCUGCACUACAGCCUGGGCAACAGAGCAGGACCCUGUCCCUGUCUCGAAAAAAAAAUAAAAAUAAAAGUAAAAAUAAAAAAUAAAGAACAGGAGAGGGGCUCCGGGAUAUGGGUGGCAAAAAAAGGCAACAUGGGGUCCUAACCUGGCCAUUUUUGUCCUCACUGCUCACUGGGAUGUGGUGUGGAUGAUGCUGGGUGAUAUCACGGAACCAGCGGCGAUCCUCUCAGGCACACUCGCAUUAACAUGGCUAUGACUGGGAAGGGUGUGCUCAGAGGUGUCCUUAACAUCUGACAAGAACAGACAGCCAAGGGUACUUGGGAACAGGCCUGGAGCAGUGGCUCACACCUGUAAUCCCAGCACUUUGGGAGGCCGAGGCAGGCAGAUCACCUGAGGUCCAGAGUUCCAGACCAACCUGGCCAACAUGGUGAAACCCCAUCUCUACUAAAAAUACAAAAACAGCCAGGCAUGGUGGUGCGCACCUGUAAUCCCAGCUACUUGGGAGGCUGAAGCAGGAGAAUCGCUUGAACCUGGGAGGCGGCAGUUGCAGUGAGCUGAGAUCACACCACUGCACUCCAGCCUGGGCUACAGAGUGAGACCCCAUCUCAAAAAACAAAACAAAACAAACGAACAAAAAAACACUUGGGAAAGGAGAAAGCAUGGUGGAGAACACAGAAACCAUCUGAAUAUAAAAUCAGGGCCAGGCAUGGUGGCUCAUGCCUGUAAUCCCAGCACUUUGGGAGGCUGAGGCAGGCAGAUUACCUGAGGUCAGGAGUUCAAGACCAGCCUGGCCAACGUGGUGAAACCCCAUCUCUACUAAAUAUAUAAAAAUUAGCCGGGCGUGGUGGCGGGCGCCUGUAAUCCCAGCUACUCAGGAGGCUGAGUCAAGAGAAUCGCUUGAACCCGGGAGGUGGUGGUUGCAGUGAGUCCAGAUCGUGCCACUGCACUCCAGCCUGUGCGACGAGUGAAACUCCGCCUCAAAACAAACAAACAAAACCCUAACAUUGCCUUGAGCCCAGAGGCAGUUGUCAAAGAAUGAGGACUCAUGGGAAGCCUCCUGGAGGCUCGCUGACUUGGGAGCUCAAGUAGGGUAGCUGUGCUUCCUUCAUCUCCCCUCCAGCAGGGAUGGCACCCAGGGGGCCAGGGCAGGAACUCAGGUUUCCUCAGCCCACAAAUCCCCUGGAAAAAACAUGACAGGCAGGCCGCAUGUGCUUUUGUCAGGUUCCUCCCUGAACCCACCCAUGAGCUGCAGGCCUACCUCUCCCUCAGCAGAAUCCUGGAGCUACCAUUCUCAGCAAGCCUGAGCUCCCUUAGUGCCUGGGAGCUGUCAGUCUGGGAGGCUUCAUGGAGGAAGCGAGACUUGGGUCAGGGAGGGCAGUGACUAAGGGGCACUUUGGAAGGGCCCAGUAAGGGCUGGGGUGCGGAGACCCAGGGGUGGUGGCAUCAGAGCUGAGCCUCAAAGGACCCAGAAGCCUGGGAUGUUUAAAACCUGCCCAUUAUGGGGUCUAGCGAACAGCUUCUUUUAUUCUUGUUUGAAAGUAUUUUUCUG
Molecule: long non-coding RNA, 3125 nt
Filed under: Homo sapiens (human)
Lineage: Eukaryota; Metazoa; Chordata; Mammalia; Primates; Hominidae
Description: HSALNT0226732
Source: RNAcentral